RNAcentral lists this ribosomal RNA (257 nucleotides) under Klebsiella aerogenes. RNAcentral's name for it is "partial 23S ribosomal RNA". It matches the Rfam family "Bacterial large subunit ribosomal RNA", at positions 1088 to 1343 of the family's 2925-position model. Lineage: Bacteria; Pseudomonadati; Pseudomonadota; Gammaproteobacteria; Enterobacterales; Enterobacteriaceae. The record is from RNAcentral.
GACAGCCAGGAUGUUGGCUUAGAAGCAGCCAUCAUUUAAAGAAAGCGUAAUAGCUCACUGGUCGAGUCGGCCUGCGCGGAAGAUGUAACGGGGCUAAACUGUGCACCGAAGCUGCGGCAGCGACACUUAGGUGUUGUUGGGUAGGGGAGCGUUCUGUAAGCCUGCGAAGGUGGCCUGUGAGGGUUGCUGGAGGUAUCAGAAGUGCGAAUGCUGACAUAAGUAACGAUAAUGCGGGUGAAAAGCCCGCACGCCGGAAG